GAGUGUGUAGCUCAGCGGUAGAGCACUACGUUGACAUCGUAGGGGUCAUAGGUUCAAUCCCUAUUACGCUCA
This 72-nucleotide transfer RNA is filed under the name Candidatus Cytomitobacter indipagum. RNAcentral describes it as "tRNA-Val". It matches the Rfam family "tRNA". Rfam says of the family: Transfer RNA (tRNA) molecules are approximately 80 nucleotides in length. Their secondary structure includes four short double-helical elements and three loops (D, anti-codon, and T loops). Lineage: Bacteria; Pseudomonadati; Pseudomonadota; Alphaproteobacteria; Holosporales; Holosporaceae. The record is from RNAcentral.